This 272-nucleotide ribosomal RNA is filed under the name uncultured bacterium. RNAcentral's name for it is "partial 16S ribosomal RNA". It matches the Rfam family "Bacterial small subunit ribosomal RNA", at positions 82 to 354 of the family's 1533-position model. The record is from RNAcentral.
AGAGGGUGACUUAGCGGCGGACGGGUGAGUAACGCGUGGGCAACCUGCCUUACACAGGGGGAUAACAAUUAGAAAUGAUUGCUAAUACCGCGUAAGACCCCAGUACCGCAUGGUACAGAGGUAAAAACUGAGGUGGUGUAAGAUGGGCCCGCGUCUGAUUAGGUAGUUGGUGGGGUAGAAGCCUACCAAGCCGACGAUCAGUAGCCGACCUGAGAGGGCGACCGGCCACAUUGGGACUGAGACACGGCCCAAACUCCUACGGAAGGCAGCAG